GUCCCUAUAGUGUAAUGGAUAGCACGUUGGACUCCUAAUCCAAAGGUCGUGGGUUCGAAUCCUACUUGGAAUG
This is a non-coding RNA of Trichonephila inaurata madagascariensis, 73 nucleotides long. The record is from the annotation of a GenBank genome assembly. Lineage: Eukaryota; Metazoa; Arthropoda; Arachnida; Araneae; Nephilidae.